This 443-nucleotide ribosomal RNA is filed under the name uncultured bacterium. RNAcentral describes it as "SSU rRNA". It matches the Rfam family "Bacterial small subunit ribosomal RNA", at positions 26 to 518 of the family's 1533-position model. The record is from RNAcentral.
AGAACGAACGCUGGCGGCAGGCUUAACACAUGCAAGUCGAGCGCCCCGCAAGGGGAGCGGCAGACGGGUGAGUAACGCGUGGGAACAUACCCUCCGGUUCGGAAUAGCUCAGGGAAACUUGGAUUAAUACCGGAUACGGCCUAGCGGCGAAAGAUUCAUCGCCGGAGGAUUGGCCCGCGUCUGAUUAGCUAGUUGGUGGGGUAAUGGCCCACCAAGACGACGAUCAGUAGCUGGUCUGAGAGGAUGAUCAGCCACAUUGGGACUGAGACACGGCCCAAACUCCUACGGGAGGCAGCAGUGGGGAAUAUGGACAAUGGGCGCAAGCCUGAUCCAGCCAUGCCGCGUGAGUGAUGACGGCCUUAGGGUUGUAAAGCUCUUUCGCUAGGGACGAUAAUGACGGUACCUAGACAAGAAGCCCCGGCUAACUUCGUGCCAGCAGCCGC